This 85-nucleotide transfer RNA is filed under the name Felis catus (domestic cat). It matches the Rfam family "tRNA". Rfam says of the family: Transfer RNA (tRNA) molecules are approximately 80 nucleotides in length. The record is from Rfam by way of RNAcentral. Lineage: Eukaryota; Metazoa; Chordata; Mammalia; Carnivora; Felidae. RNAcentral also lists the same sequence under 3 other names.
GCCUGGGUGGCUCAGUCGGUUGAGUGUCCGACUUCGGCUCAGGUCAUGAUCUCACAGUCUGUGGGUUCAAGCCCCGCAUCGGGCU